CAGGACGAACGCUGGCGGCGUGCCUAAUACAUGCAAGUCGAGCGAAUGACAAGGAGCUUGCUCCUUGAUUAGCGGCGGACGGGUGAGUAACACGUGGGUAACCUACCCUAUAGACUGGGAUAACUUCGGGAAACCGGAGCUAAUACCGGAUAAUAUUUUUUGAACACAUGUUCGAAAGUUGAAAGAUGGUUUCGGCUAUCACUAUAGGAUGGACCCGCGGCGCAUUAGCUAGUUGGUGGGGUAAUGGCUCACCAAGGCAACGAUGCGUAGCCGACCUGAGAGGGUGAUCGGCCACACUGGGACUGAGACACGGCCCAGACUCCUACGGGAGGCAGCAGUAGGGAAUCUUCCACAAUGGACGAAAGUCUGAUGGAGCAACGCCGCGUGAGUGAAGAAGGAUUUCGGUUCGUAAAACUCUGUUGCAAGGGAAGAACAAGUAGCGUAGUAACUGGCGCUACCUUGACGGUACCUUGUUAGAAAGCCACGGCUAACUACGUGCCAGCAGCGGC
RNAcentral lists this ribosomal RNA (509 nucleotides) under uncultured bacterium. Its description in RNAcentral is "bacterial SSU rRNA". It matches the Rfam family "Bacterial small subunit ribosomal RNA", at positions 25 to 518 of the family's 1533-position model. The record is from RNAcentral.